RNAcentral lists this ribosomal RNA (776 nucleotides) under uncultured Neocallimastigales. RNAcentral's name for it is "partial large subunit ribosomal RNA". It matches the Rfam family "Eukaryotic large subunit ribosomal RNA", at positions 26 to 646 of the family's 3401-position model. Lineage: Eukaryota; Fungi; Neocallimastigomycota; Neocallimastigomycetes; Neocallimastigales. The record is from RNAcentral.
CGCAUCUGUGCAUGCAGCAUAUCAAUAAGCGGAGGAAAAGAAACUAACAAGGAUUCCCUUAGUAACGGCGAGUGAAGCGGGAAGAGCUCAAAUUUGAAAUCUUCAAGGUUUUACCUUGACGAAUUGUAGUUUAAAGAAGUGUUUUCUGUUGAAGUUUUGGUAAAAGUUCUUUGGAAUAGGACAUCAUAGAGGGUGAGAAUCCCGUAUUUGACCAUUAUUUUCAGCUGUGUGAUACACUUUCAAAGAGUCGGAUUGUUUGGGAAUGCAGUCCAAAAUGGGUGGUAAAUUUCAUCUAAAGCUAAAUAUUGGCGAGAGACCGAUAGCGAACAAGUACCGUGAGGGAAAGAUGAAAAGAACUUUGAAAAGAGAGUUAAACAGUACGUGAAAUUGUCAAAAGGGAAGCGUUUGACACCAGCUGUUGUUUCUCUCGAAAAUCAAUUAAAAAGAGUUAGAUUUUGUUGCGUAUUGACCUUAACAGCUUGCAUUUCAAUUUUCUUGCUUUUUUUAAUGCACUUUUCGUUUAACAAGUCAACAUCAGUUUCUUUUGUUGUAAAAAGGUCAUUGGAAGGUGGCUUUCUUUUCGGAGAAAGUGUUUAUAGCCUUUGACUCCUGCAAUCGGAGAGACUGAGGUCUGCAGCGUAGAUCCUUCGGGGUUAGAUACAUUUGUGCUAAGUUAUAGCUUUUUAUAGACAACUUGUUGACUAUGAUUAGUCUUGUAGCUUACUCGCUUAUGCUAUUUUACCUACGCUUAGGAUGUUGACACACGCGCGUGCUCG